Long non-coding RNA from Homo sapiens (human), 343 nucleotides. Ensembl annotates it as USH2A antisense RNA 2. Its record names the gene USH2A-AS2. NCBI's taxonomy places the organism in Eukaryota, Metazoa, Chordata, Mammalia, Primates, Hominidae. The record is from Ensembl.
GGUAAUAGUCCUUCCUUUUAUAUAAAUGCACAAAUACAUGCAUGUGUGUGUGUGCACAUAUGCAUUUGAAGAUAAGUAUUUACCUGCUCCUGUUGUACGUCCUCGACUCCAAUCACUAUAUACUGAACCUCCUUCAUGCGAGGCUAUCACUCGAUACAGGAUCCUUCCUGAGGAUGGUAUAACUUCGCGGGAGCCCUCCCAGAAAGACUCCUGUGUUAUCUCCAAUAACAGUACUACCAUUCAGGAUGGCAGAGGAACCUAGAGAAGAGGAGAUGAGAAAUACACCUUCACCAGGAUACUCUAGUUUUACUAGCUCAGCAAAUAAUAAAAUCCUUCACCAGCC